GGUUGUUGCUGGCCCUCUCGGGGGCAUGUGCACACCCACCAUCCUCAUCUCUCCACCUGUGCACCUCUUGUAGACCUGGAUUGACUUUCCGAGGCAACUCGGUCGGGAAGAUUGCUGCGCUCUGUGAGCCAGCUUUCUUUGCAUGUCCAGGCCUAUGUUUUUCAUAUACCCCUAUAGAAUGUAACAGAAUGUAUCAUUGGGCCUUGUGCCUAUAAACCUUAUACAACUUUCAGCAACGGAUCUCUUGGCUCUCGCAUCGAUGAAGAACGCAGCGAAAUGCGAUAAGUAAUGUGAAUUGCAGAAUUCAGUGAAUCAUCGAAUCUUUGAACGCACCUUGCGCUCCUUGGUAUUCCGAGGAGCAUGCCUGUUUGAGUGUCAUUAAAUUCUCAACCUUAUUAACUUUUGUUGAUAAUGGAUUGGAUUGUGGGGGUUUCUUUUGCUGGCUUCUUCACAGAGAUCAGCUCCCCUUAAAUGCAUUAGCUGGUGCCCCGCGUGGACCAUCUAUUGGUGUGAUAAUUAUCUACGCCGUGGAUGUCUGCAAUUAUAUGGGUUUCGCACUGCUUCUAACCGUCUGUUCAUUCGGACAAUACAUGACAAUUUGACCUCAAAUCAGGUAGGACUACCCGCUGAACUUAAGCAUAUCAAUAAGCGGAGGAAAARAAACUAACAAGGAUUCCCCCUAGUAACUGCGAGUGAAGCGGGAAAAGCUCAAAUUUAAAAUCUGGCGGUCUCCGGCCGUCCGAGUUGUAAUCUARARAAGUGUUAUCCGCGCUGGACCGUGUACAAAU
This 788-nucleotide ribosomal RNA is filed under the name uncultured fungus. RNAcentral describes it as "eukaryotic LSU rRNA". The stretch from base 225 to 378 matches the Rfam family "5.8S ribosomal RNA". Lineage: Eukaryota; Fungi. The record is from RNAcentral.